This is a long non-coding RNA of Ooceraea biroi (clonal raider ant), 2266 nucleotides long. RefSeq lists it as uncharacterized. Lineage: Eukaryota; Metazoa; Arthropoda; Insecta; Hymenoptera; Formicidae. The record is from RefSeq and is a predicted model, not a curated record.
GUAAGUUGCACGUUGGUCAAGCUUACCAGGCGACUCGCCGGCAUACUUAUUCGCCUAGUCACCUGGAAUCGGCGAGGGAUGACGAGGAGAUCGACGUCAUCGCGCUCACACGCGCUGUCCACAGCUGGAGCGAAGGCGAUUGCUUCUGGUGACCUGAAAAAAAAUCGGAUGUUGAGGAUGACGAGACGUUCGAAGACGCGAGGAAGAUUAUUCGAGAGUUUGCGGCAUGCCAAGAUAAUGCGAGUGCAUUUACCCCGCAUUGAUUGCCGCAAUUCGGUCGGCAAAUCGCUGACAUGGUACUCUUAUUUUAUUCAGUGAUCGAUUCCCAACGAUAAUCGUGGUUCAGUGCCUCCUCCUUUGCCUGGAGUCACGAAAGCCAAGUCCGAUAUAUGUAUGUACAUACCUUGCUUAUACCAUCGCAACUAUUUACAACGAUGAUGGAUCUUUCGUUACGUCAUCGGCACACAUUGACUCAGUCCUUACGGCACGCAUGCACAUUCUUUUGAUUGUACAAUUAUUUACAUCGACAUUAUUUAUCAUAAUUUAUUCGAGUCACGUGGCUCUCACUCUCUUCCUGCCAAUUAUACCUGCCGAUUGCGCAUAGUUUACCAUUAGAUUAAUCAAGCACCUUGAAAUCUAAAUAUAAUAUUGUACAAACAUAAAUAGCACAAAUGAGUAAAAAUUAGUAGAUAAUAAUAGUAAAGGCAAUACAUUAAAAAUAAAUAAAAGUAAAUUUCUUAUGUAAAGCAUUUCCGUGGUUCUUCCUAAAACUUUGAAUUCCUGAAAUCUUGUCUGAAUAAUUCUCCUAUAUUAAUUUAUAAUAUCAAUAAGAUGUAACGCACGUAAGAGUGUACAAGAGAAGAUCUGUAUCUGUGCAAAAAGGUAAGGAGGUCACCGGGAAUUCGUUGGAAAUCGCACAAGCCUCAAGACGGUGUAAUAAAAAUAAAUCAUCCGGUUUCUGUAAAUUAUCGUGAGAUCUAGUAGCGCCCAUAGAAUGUGUACGUAUAAUUGCUCGCGUGCUACUACAGCUCAAUCAUUUCUUUUCCUCGGCGUUUCUCGAUUUUCUCGCAGGAAAUCUCGCCCCUCCUUCUUGCUCCGACCUUUCAGCAUACAUCCUUUUUCAACGCAGAAGAAAUGACACGAUGCAAGUUAAGAGGAGCGGACCUCAUUCCACGGCGAGCAGGCAACUUGGGUGACAAUUCGUCGUGGGGUCGACCGGUGGUUGCGCAGCGGAUCGAUAUGGGGCCGCGGUGUCACAGGCAUAUAGGGCGAACCAGAAACACCCCUCGCUGGGCCAGAAAUUUCGGCACUCUUGACCCCGAAAAGUCGAACCGACGAACGUUACUGGAAAUAAUAAUAAUAAUAAUAACAAUGGUAAUAAAAAAAAGCAAAAUAUUCCGGAAAAGGUGAUAUUAGGGACGGUUGUAACGGAGAAUUUCAUUUCCUUCGUGACUCCUUUGUGAUCACAGAGUCUCUUUUUACGUCACAGCAGGGCGUGGGAGGAGAAAGGCCUCAGCAGGGAUGAUACGAAGGGGGAUGAAGGGAUGUUCCGGAGGCAGUCAGCUCUCUCUCGCGCGCGUCAAGCUUGGCGGGGGUUGUCUCUCCCCUCUCCGUGCUCGGCUAGCGAGCGGCAUGCCGAGCCGACGUGAUCGGUCGAUUAAUCGGAGGAAGUCAGACCGCCGCGGAUCGUCGCCGCGACGCCGUGCUCGUCGUCAGUUUGUCGCCGUCGUCACGCUUGUCACCGUUGUCGUCGUGUUGUCAUCCUGAAGAGAAAUCGUGGAAGCACUGCGUGUUCACGAGGAUGCCGCGAGAUCUGCACGAGUACAUCAACAAUGCCAGAACGUUUAUCAUUCUCUGAAUCAGAGACAGGUCGUCGCUGGCUUUGUGAGAAAUCGUCAAUAGGAUUCCUCAAGAUGUCACAAAACGAGGCAUUUGCUAGACAAACAUAUUCGUAAGAGACAGCAACAAAUAAGGAAGCGGAACGAACGCUGACCUGGCUACGCGGUGACCGCAAUAAAAAGUGAACGCGCGGACUUUCCACGUGCGCGUCGACGCCAAGGCGAAAGUGUAACGGCACUUCGAGCAAGACAUUCACCAAGAAUAUUACGCUUCAUCUCAUCUCAACGGAGAAGGAUCAGUCAGAGCAUACGUUAAUCUUGGUGCAACGAGGACGUAACAUGUAUCAAUGUGUUUCUGAUAUUUUCGGCUACCUCGUAUAGGCAAUUUUCACCUAAAAAAUGCCGAAUUGGCGAAUUAUCAACCAAAA